AUGGGAGAGCAGGGGAGCAGCGUGGCGAAGCUGAACAGGGGAGCUCCGACGGCCAUGCGCCUGUGUCGGAGCGGCAAGUUGUGUCGGGAGUUUCGGGAGGGGUUUUCUGCAAAAACAUCACGAGGACAACUUUUCCCGGAUGGAGGAGAGUCAAAAUAUAUCUCGCCAAAGUGCGAAUCUUCUGAGCAGAAAAUGCAGCUGAAAGGAUUUUUCACUUGGUUUGUUAGUAUAAUAGAAUUGAAAUGUUCCCAGUCAUAUGGCCAACACAGGGUAAUAUUGCUUUACUGUUUCAAAUUAACAACAGUGUACAUCCAUCCCAGUAUCCCAGUAUUACAGCAGAAGUAA
This 345-nucleotide ribosomal RNA is filed under the name Triticum aestivum (bread wheat). RNAcentral describes it as "partial small subunit ribosomal RNA". The record is from RNAcentral. Lineage: Eukaryota; Viridiplantae; Streptophyta; Magnoliopsida; Poales; Poaceae.